Molecule: ribosomal RNA, 1335 nt
Filed under: metagenome
Description: bacterial SSU rRNA
Rfam family: Bacterial small subunit ribosomal RNA
Source: RNAcentral
GUUCGGAAUAACGGUUGGAAACGACCGAUAAUACUGGAUAAGCCCGAGAGGGGAAAGGUUUACCGCUAAGAGAUAAGCCCAUAUCUGAUUAUGGUAGUUGGUAGGGUAAUGGCCUACCAAGCCUUUGAUCAGUAGCUGGUUUGAGAGGAUGAUCAGCCACACUGGGACUGAGACACGGCCCAGACUCCUACGGGAGGCAGCAGUGGGGAAUAUUGGACAAUGGGCGAAAGCCUGAUCCAGCGACGCCGCGUGGGUGAUGAAGGUCUUAGGAUUGUAAAACCCUUUUGUUGGGGAAGAUAAUGACGGUACCCAACGAAUAAGUCCCGGCUAACUUCGUGCCAGCAGCCGCGGUAAUACGAAGGGGGCUAGCGUUGUUCGGAAUAACUGGGCGUAAAGGGCGCGUAGGCGGUGAAAUGCGUCUGGUGUGAAAGUCCUGGGCUUAACCUGGGGAUUGCACUGGAUACGGUUUUACUUGAGUGUAAGAGAGGAAGAUGGAAUUGUGCGUGUAGAGGUGAAAUUCGUAGAUAUGCACAAGAACACCGGAUGCGAAGGCGAUCUUCUGGCUUACAACUGACGCUGAGGCGCGAAAGCGUGGGGAGCAAACAGGAUUAGAUACCCUGGUAGUCCACGCCCUAAACGAUGAAUGUUAGAUGUCGGUUUUUUAAAAAUCGGUGUUGCAGCUAACGCGUUAAACAUUCCGCCUGGGGAGUACGGUCGCAAGAUUAAAACUCAAAGGAAUUGACGGGGACCCGCACAAGCGGUGGAUUAUGUGGUUUAAUUCGAACAUACGCGCAGAACCUUACCCGUUCUUGACAUGGUCUUUUUGGGGUGUAGAAAUAUACUUCUUCAGUUCGGCUGGGGGAUCACAGGUGCUGCAUGGCUGUCGUCAGCUCGUGUCGUGAGAUGUUGGGUUAAGUCCCGCAACGAGCGCAACCCUUUCUUUUCGUUGCCAUCAGGUUAUGCUGGGCACUGGAAAAGGACUGCCUGUUUUAAGCAGGAGGAAGGUGGGGAUGACGUCAAGUCCUCAUGGCCCUUAUGGACGGGGCUACACACGUAAUACAAUGGGAGUGACAGAGGGAAGCGAAAAGGUGACUUUAAGCAAAUCUUAAAAAGCUCUCUCAGUUCGGAUUGUUCUCUGCAACUCGAGAACAUGAAGUUGGAAUCGCUAGUAAUCGUCGAUCAGCACGCGACGGUGAAUACGUUCCCGGGUCUUGUACACACUGCCCGUCACGCCAUGGGAGCUGACUCGAUCUUAAAUUGGUGAGCUAACCACAGCAAUGUGGAGGCAGCCAAUCACGGUUGGGUGAGUGACUGGGGUGAAGUCGAAACAAGGUA